ACGCUCGACACCUACGGAGGCAGCAGUGGGGAAUAUUGCACAAUGGGGGGAACCCUGAUGCAGCGACGCCGCGUGAGUGAAGAAGUACUUCGGUAUGUAAAGCUCUAUCAGCAGGGAAGAAAAUGACGGUACCUGACUAAGAAGCCCCGGCUAACUACGUGACAGCAGCCGCGGUAAUCUGAGCGGGCUGGCAAGGC
Molecule: ribosomal RNA, 197 nt
Filed under: uncultured bacterium
Lineage: Bacteria
Description: partial 16S ribosomal RNA
Rfam family: Bacterial small subunit ribosomal RNA
Source: RNAcentral